AAAGGUAUAGCUCAAGUGUAGAGCUCAUGCUUAGCAUGCACAGGGUCCUGGGUUCAAUCCCCAGUACCUACA
This 72-nucleotide transfer RNA is filed under the name Camelus bactrianus (Bactrian camel). It matches the Rfam family "tRNA". From Rfam's summary of the family: Transfer RNA (tRNA) molecules are approximately 80 nucleotides in length. Their secondary structure includes four short double-helical elements and three loops (D, anti-codon, and T loops). Lineage: Eukaryota; Metazoa; Chordata; Mammalia; Artiodactyla; Camelidae. The record is from Rfam by way of RNAcentral. RNAcentral also lists the same sequence under 2 other names.